Molecule: small nucleolar RNA, 149 nt
Filed under: Echinops telfairi (small Madagascar hedgehog)
Lineage: Eukaryota; Metazoa; Chordata; Mammalia; Afrosoricida; Tenrecidae
Description: Small nucleolar RNA SNORA61 (ENSETEG00000026774.1)
Source: RNAcentral
ACCCUCCAGAUCCCUUACCCAUCAGACCUAAACACCGAUCCCUUACCCAUCAGACCUAAACACCGAUCUGAGUGGCUGGAAAAGGAGGAGACGUGCAAUCGAAACGUACCGACAUUCUUUUGUGACAGACAAGCCGGUUUCAAACACAG